AAUGGCAUAUGACAUCUCUGCAAAUACCAUUUUGAACACAUGAGCUUGGGGAGAUUUGCCUUUAGACUUCUCAGUGAUCCAGUUAACGUAUUGUGGCCAAGACUGUCCAGGGGGUUGAGACAUGCCUAGCCAUUGCAAAGUGAGGUGUCGCAGUUGUUCAGCAAAGGGGCAGUACAGGAACAAAUGAUCUCUAGUCUCCAUUGUGUGCUGACACAUAACACAGCUACCAUCAACACUCAAAUGCCAUUUGAUCAACCUCUCUUUGGUAGGAAGCCUGUCUUGGAGCAGCAGCCAGAGGUUGAAGAGUGCUUUAGGUCGGGCAGCAUUCUGCAUGGUUAGGUUUUCCCAUGGAACUCUAGGCAAUUGACCAAUUUGUUGAAGACAGAUUAAUCUGAUAGAACAUGUAUGGUAUGCAGCAGCUGGUGUUGUUGCAGUAGCCUAGCACUUUCAAUGAUCUUCCGGACUAUCCAACUUGCUUGUGCAGGAAUAUUCAUGUUUUCCAGUUGUUGAUGUUUAAUAUACACUGUAUGGAUCCACUUUACCCAUAAUAGGUCUUUCUUGUGAGCCAAAUCCCAGGCUAGUUUUUGCAACAGC
This 594-nucleotide long non-coding RNA is filed under the name Nicotiana benthamiana. RNAcentral describes it as "long non-coding RNA (NBEN_LNC017583)". Lineage: Eukaryota; Viridiplantae; Streptophyta; Magnoliopsida; Solanales; Solanaceae. The record is from RNAcentral.